UGCAAAAUGACUCUCGGCAACGGAUAUCUAGGCUCUUGCAUCGAUGAAGAACGUAGCGAAAUGCGAUACUUGGUGUGAAUUGCAGAAUCCCGUGAACCAUCGAGUCUUUGAACGCAAGUUGCGCCCGAAGCCAUUAGGUUGAGGGCACGUCUGCCUGGGUGUCACA
RNAcentral lists this ribosomal RNA (166 nucleotides) under Austrocallerya australis. RNAcentral's name for it is "5.8S ribosomal RNA". It matches the Rfam family "5.8S ribosomal RNA". Rfam says of the family: 5.8S ribosomal RNA (5.8S rRNA) is a component of the large subunit of the eukaryotic ribosome. Lineage: Eukaryota; Viridiplantae; Streptophyta; Magnoliopsida; Fabales; Fabaceae. The record is from RNAcentral.